This is a non-coding RNA of Xylariaceae sp. AK1471, 105 nucleotides long. The record is from the annotation of a GenBank genome assembly. NCBI's taxonomy places the organism in Eukaryota, Fungi, Ascomycota, Sordariomycetes, Xylariales, Xylariaceae.
GGCCUCGUGGCCCAAUGGCAAGGCGUCUGACUACGAUAAGGUCCAUGACUGAAUGGACAUUACAAUGUAAUCAGGAGAUUCUGGGUUCGACCCCCAGCGAGGUCA